AUGGCAGAGAUUGUGAUUAUUCAGGCCAUUAAAAAGAUAGGAAAGGCCUUAGCAAAUGGAGUAGCAGAUCCAGCCAGUACCCAGUUAGCGAAGUACAAGACACAACUAAUAGAGUUACAGGGCAGCAUGGGUCGCAUUGCGAGGGAGCUUCGUGUAAUGCAUGACGUUCUUUGUGAAAUGGACAUUCGAAACCGCAGCAAUCAAGUAUAUGAGGGCUGGUUGGAGGAGGUUCGGAAGGUUGCACAUGUAAUGGAGGACAUGGUAGAUGAGUACCUAUAUCUACUUGGUCAGGACCGUGAUAUAGGGUGUUGCUUUUACGUGAAGAAAGGGUUAAGAAAACCAAGAUCUCUACUUUCUCUGAACCGGAUAGCUUUCAAGGUGAAACAAAUAGAGAAAGACCUCACACACCAGUCAGAGACUAAAAACCGUUGGCUUCCCAUGAUAAACACUGGGGAUCCUAGCAGCUCGAAUUACAUUGUCAAGAGGUCCCAAGAUCUAGCGAACACUUCAUGA
Molecule: ribosomal RNA, 513 nt
Filed under: Triticum aestivum (bread wheat)
Lineage: Eukaryota; Viridiplantae; Streptophyta; Magnoliopsida; Poales; Poaceae
Description: partial small subunit ribosomal RNA
Source: RNAcentral